This 75-nucleotide transfer RNA is filed under the name Bacteroidales bacterium. RNAcentral describes it as "tRNA-Pro". It matches the Rfam family "tRNA". From Rfam's summary of the family: Transfer RNA (tRNA) molecules are approximately 80 nucleotides in length. Their secondary structure includes four short double-helical elements and three loops (D, anti-codon, and T loops). RNAcentral also lists the same sequence under 1 other name. The record is from RNAcentral. Lineage: Bacteria; Pseudomonadati; Bacteroidota; Bacteroidia; Bacteroidales.
CGGGAUUUAGUUCAGCCCGGUUAGAAUGCCUGCUUUGGGAGCAGGAGGUCGUGAGUUCGAAUCUCGCAAUCCCGA